Molecule: ribosomal RNA, 229 nt
Filed under: uncultured bacterium
Lineage: Bacteria
Description: partial 16S ribosomal RNA
Rfam family: Bacterial small subunit ribosomal RNA
Source: RNAcentral
UACGUAGGCGGAAAAUUAAGUCAGUAGUGAAAUCCUGCAGCUUAACUGUAGAACUGUUAUUGAUACUGGUUUUCUUGAAUAUAGUUGAGGUAGGCGGAAUGUGUAAUGUAGCGGUGAAAUGCUUAGAUAUUACACAGAACACCGAUUGCGAAGGCAGCUUACUAAGCUAUGAUUGACGCUGAGGUACGAAAGCGUGGGGCACGAACAGGAUUAGAUACCCUGGUAGUCC